RNAcentral lists this ribosomal RNA (311 nucleotides) under uncultured bacterium. RNAcentral describes it as "bacterial SSU rRNA". It matches the Rfam family "Bacterial small subunit ribosomal RNA", at positions 28 to 329 of the family's 1533-position model. The record is from RNAcentral.
GAUGAACGCUGGCGGCGUGCCUAAUACAUGCAAGUCGAACGCACAGCGAAAGGUGCUUGCACCUUUCAAGUGAGUGGCGAACGGGUGAGUAACACGUGGAUAACCUACCUCAAGGUUGGGGAUAACAUUUGGAAACAGAUGCUAAUACCGAAUAAAACUUAGUAUCGCAUGAUACCAGGUUAAAAGGCGCUACGGCGUCACCUAGAGAUGGAUCCGCGGUGCAUUAGUUAGUUGGUGGGUAAAGGCGUUACCAAGACAAUGAUGCAUAGCCGAGUUGAGAGACUGAUCGGCCACAUGGGACUGAGACACGG